UGGGGAAUUUUGGACAAUGGGCGAAAGCCUGAUCCAGCAAUGCCGCGUGUGUGAAGAAGGCCUUCGGGUUGUAAAGCACUUUUGUCCGGAAAGAAAUCCUUGGCUCUAAUACAGUCGGGGGAUGACGGUACCGGAAGAAUAAGCACCGGCUAACUACGUGCCAGCAGCCGCGGUAAUACGUAGGGUGCAAGCGUUAAUCGGAAUUACUGGGCGUAAAGCGUGCGCAGGCGGUUUGCUAAGACCGAUGUGAAAUCCCCGGGCUCAACCUGGGAACUGCAUUGGUGACUGGCAGGCUAGAGUAUGGCAGAGGGGGGUAGAAUUCCACGUGUAGCAGUGAAAUGCGUAGAGAUGUGGAGGAAUACCGAUGGCGAAGGCAGCCCCCUGGGCAAUACUGACGCUCAUGCACGAAAGCGUGGGGAGCAAACAGGAUUAGAUACCCUGGUAGUCCACGCCCUAAACGAUGUCAACUAGUUGUUGGGGAUUCAUUUCCUAGUAACGUAGCUAACGCGUGAAGUUGACCGCC
This 523-nucleotide ribosomal RNA is filed under the name uncultured bacterium. Its description in RNAcentral is "partial 16S ribosomal RNA". It matches the Rfam family "Bacterial small subunit ribosomal RNA", at positions 355 to 873 of the family's 1533-position model. The record is from RNAcentral.